GCAGAAGGAGGAAGGACAGCACAGCCUACAGCCGUGCUCAGGAAGUUUCUGGAACCUAGGCUCAUCUCCACAGAGGAGAACACACAAGCAGCAGAGACCAUGGGGCCCCUCUCAGCCCCUCCCUGCACACAGCACAUCAAAUGGAAGGGGGUCCUGCUCACAGCAUCACUUUUAAACUUCUGGAACCCACCUACCAUUGCCCAAGUCACGACUGAAGCCCAGCCACCCAAAGUUUCCGAGGGGAAGGAUGUUCUUCUACUUGUCCACAAUUUGCCCCAGAAUCUUACUGGUUACAUGUGGUAGAAAGGGCAAAUAAGGGACCUCUACCAUUACAUUACAUCAUAUGUAGUAGACGGUCAAAGAAUUACAUAUGGGCCUGCAUACAGUGGACGAGAAACAGUAUAUUCCAAUGCAUCCCUGCUGAUCCAGAAUGUCACCCGGGAGGACGGAGUAUCCUACACCUUACACAUCAUACAGCGAGGUGAUGGGACUAGAGGAGUAACUGGAAAUUUCACCUUCACCUUAUACCCGAAGCUGCCCAAGCCCUACAUCACCAUCAACAACUCAAAACCCAGGGAGAAUAAGGAUGUCUUACCCUUCACCUGUGACCCUAAAAGUGAGAACUACACCUACACGUGGUGGCUAAAUGGUCAGAGCCUCCCAGUCAGUCCCAGGGUAAAGUGACCCAUUGAAAACAGGAUCCUCAUUCUACCCAGUGUCACGAGAAAUGAAACAGGACCCUAUCAAUGUGAAAUACGGGACCGAUAUGGUGGCAUCCGCAGUAACCCAGUCACCCUGAAUGUCCUCUAUGGUCCAGACCUCCCCAGAAUUUACCCUUCAUUCACCUAUUACCGUUCAGGACAAAACCUUUACUUGUCCUGCUUCGCGGAAUGUAACCCACCGGCAUAGUACUCUUGGACAAUUAAUGGGAAGUUUCAGCAAUCAGAACAAAAGCUCUUUAUCCCCCAAAUUACUACAAAGCAUAGAGGGCUCUAUGCUUGCUCUGUUCGUAACUCAGCCACUGGCAAGGAAAGCUCCAAAUCCAUGACAGUCGAAGUCUCUGGUGCCUGCCAUGGAGACCUGGCAGGGUCUCAUUCGUGACUGCCAUAACAGAGACACUGAGAAAAAGAUGCAACCAUGGAAAGGUGCAAAGGUGGCAAGUUCUAAUGACAUAGAAAAUAGCAAUCAGCCUUUCUCACAUCUGAAAGCCUUCCAAAAUAUCUGAGUGCAGUAGAGAAUUGACAGAGGACUGAUCACCAACCUAGAAGUAUGCUCCUCCAGGA
Molecule: long non-coding RNA, 1283 nt
Filed under: Homo sapiens (human)
Lineage: Eukaryota; Metazoa; Chordata; Mammalia; Primates; Hominidae
Description: novel transcript
Source: RNAcentral